RNAcentral lists this long non-coding RNA (588 nucleotides) under Phoenix dactylifera (date palm). Its description in RNAcentral is "long non-coding RNA (PDAC_LNC021040)". The record is from RNAcentral. Lineage: Eukaryota; Viridiplantae; Streptophyta; Magnoliopsida; Arecales; Arecaceae.
AGAAAGGAUGACAUAGGUUGUUAUUGAAGGAAGGAAAACAUUUUUUCCUGCAUGAUUAUGUGUUGCAGGCAGGCUCCAUUUCUUGGACUUUCUUUAAAGAGUCAGAGAGGAAGAUGACGGGUUCAUGUAUCAGAAGGGUUGCCUUUUGGUGUCUGCUCAACGAGAUUUCGCAGCAAUGCUUUGUUAUCCUUGAUCUGUUGAUCAAAAAGCAGCACUGAGCCAAAUCUCAAAGCAACCAUAUACAUUGAAGGGUGUCAUCCAUGGAAAAUCUAGGGCUACAUCUUUUUACAGUUUGAACACAACCAAGCAAGUGAUCAAAACUCAAAUCUAGAGUGCACUACAUCUGGUCGACGGUCAUGGUAAGGAUUUUAUUGAUUAAGAACAAAGUGUAAGAUUGCCAUUGGCAUUGUAAGGUAGACCUUGUAUUUGUUAUCUCUGUUGCCUCCUGGAUCCUCUACCGCCAAGGAUUAGAACUGGACAUUACCUGUUAGAACACCAGGGAAUGAAGUUAGAAGCUCAAAUCUCAACUUUUGGAUUCAUAUGGGAUUGUUAAUGAUAUUUCAACUGAACUUAAUUAUUUUCACACAA